Acipenser ruthenus (sterlet) is the source of this 5193-nucleotide RNA transcript. It is a transcript of the gene named transferrin receptor protein 1-like, with no coding region annotated. The transcript has 20 exons. The record is from RefSeq and is a predicted model, not a curated record. Lineage: Eukaryota; Metazoa; Chordata; Actinopteri; Acipenseriformes; Acipenseridae.
UGUAAUGGGUCUCCAGUCGCCUUUUCAGUUAAAGGAGGGCACUGGAGAUGAGAGGGUAAUCUUGCUGGUGGAAGCUGCAGGACUGAGCUGGGUUGGGAGGGGUUGAAAGCCAAAUAAGAAGAGAAGACCGUUAGACCCUGUGAUAUUGUUAACGUCCAGGAAGUUGAAAAUGGAUACAGCACGAUCAACUAUAUACAAUUUGUUUCAUGGGGAGCCAAGCACGUAUACCCGCUUCAGCUUGGCCCAGCAUAUGGAAGGUGACAAUAGCCAAGUGGAGAUGAAACUGUCAAAUUCUGAGAUGGACGAUGAGGUUGGAAACUCCAUGGGAGGUCACAGGGACCCUCGCAUUAUGAAGCCAAAGCGCAGCCCCAAAAGCAUCUGCUUUAUGAUUGUUUGUACUCUGCUUAUCUUCCUAAUAGGCUUUCUUAUUGGUUAUUUAUCGUAUCGCGGGCGAAUGCCAACAAGAGAGCAGGGCUGUUCCAAUGCGGACAGUGUUUCUUGUGGCACCAUUGAAGAACUGCUAAGUGAGGAUGACAGUGAUACGACUCUGGAAGCCGCUCAGCCUGUCCUUGAAUGGAAACAGCUGAAAGAACUGCUCAAAAGCAAGUUUUUAGUAUCAAGUUUUGAAUCCCGCAUCAGGGCCUUUUCUGCAAACCAUGAGGCUGGUUCUGAAGGUGAUCAAAAACUUGCUUUGAGUGUGUAUAACGAAUUCAAAAACAUUGGGCUGGAUAGUGUCUGGAAUGAUGAACACUAUGUGAAGCUUCAGUCCCUUGGCAGCACUCCAAACAAAGUAACAUUUUUGGGUUCCGGAAUACCUGAAGUUAUUGAAGUUCCAAAGGGUUACCUGGCUUACAGUGCUGCAGGCCAAGCUACGGGUAAAUUGGUUUAUGCUAAUUAUGGAAGGGAAGAAGAUUUUAAAAAAUUAACAUCUUUGGAUAUUACUGUGAAUGGCAGUGUUGUCAUUGUUCGAGGUGGACAAAUAAGCUUUGCCGCUAAGGUUGCCAAUGCUCAGAAAGUGAAAGCAGCUGCAGUUUUGAUCUACCUAGACCCUGCUGACUAUAACAUGCCUGAGAACACAGAUGUGUUUGGUCAUGUUCAUUUGGGCACUGGUGACCCAUAUACCCCAGGAUUUCCUUCAUUUAACCACACUCAGUUUCCUCCUGCACAAUCCUCAGGGCUUCCCAGCAUCCCUGCUCAGACCAUCACAACAAAUUCAGCUCGUCGGCUGAUGAGUAAAAUGACAGGACAGCCUGCCCCUUCGGAAUGGAAAGGAACUUUAUCUCCGCCCUACAAUUUGGGAAAUGAUGAUAAUGUCCAGGUGGAAGUGGAGGUGAACAAUGAAGUUGCUGAAAAGAGGAUCCUAAAUGUAUUUGGAGUGGUUAAAGGACUUAUUGAUCCAGACCACUAUGUUGUGAUUGGAGCUCAGCGUGAUUCUUGGGGUCCAGGUGUUGCCAAAUCAGCUGUGGGAACUUCUUUGCUGGUGGAGAUGGCUAAAGCACUUUCAGACUUAGUCGUAAAAGAUGGAUACAAACCCAGAAGAAGCAUUAUUUUUGCAAGCUGGAGUGCUGGCGAUUUUGGAAGUGUUGGUGCAACUGAAUGGUUGGAGGGUUACCUGUCUAUGUUGCACCUGAAAGCUUUUGCUUACAUAAACCUUGAUGCUGCAGUGCUGGGCUCUCAAACUUUUAAAGCAUCUGCCAGUCCUAUGCUGUACACACUUCUUGGAAACACCCUAAAAGAGGUCAGCGCUCCACUGGACAGCAGUAAGACGUUGUACCAAAAACUUGGUGCUGAUAGCUGGGAGAAGCAAACAAUUGUCCCAAUGGCCAUGGAUGAUGCGUCAUAUGCCUUCCAAGCAUUUUCCGGAAUACCAUCUCUUUCUUUCAGGUUUACGAAUGAUGGAGUGUAUCCAUACUUUGGAACCAAAGAAGACAAUUGGAGCAAUCUGAAUGCUCGCACAGGAAACAGGAUAGACGACAUAGCCAGAGCUGCUGCAAAUGUGGCUGGGCAGAUGGUGUUAAGGCUGACCCAUGAUCAUCAGCUCUCCCUGGACUUUGACAGAUACAACGGGGAGCUGUACUCGUCUGUAUUGAAGAUCAAUCGAUUUGCUAAACAGUUGAAGAAAGCAGGCUUGACUAUAAAGUGGCUGUCCUCUGCUCGUGGUGACUUUGACCGAGCUACAGAAACACUGAAAAACGACAUUCUCAACAGCGACCUGAACGAUGCAGAAAUGUGUCGAGCCAUAAACGAGCGGAUCAUGAGGGUGGAGUACCAUUUCCUCUCUCCCUACGUCUCGCCAAAGGAUACUCCCUUCCGCCACAUUUUCUAUGGCUCUGGUCCCCACACUUUAAAGUCUCUGAUUGAAAACCUUAACCUCCUGAAUGGUAACACCUUAGACCUCGACAUGGACGUCUUACGAAAUCAGCUAGCCUUGGCCACCUGGACCAUACAGGGGGCUGCCAAUGCUCUGUCAGGCGACAUCUGGGACAUAGACAACGAAUUCUAAAUGCUUGGAUUGGUGUCCAGUGUUUUCUCUAAAGGCAAGCUGAGAUUGAACCCACAUUAAAAAAAAAAAAAAAAAAAAACAUUGGCUUGACAUUUUACAAACCGGUAAAACUCAUUUUAAAUUUAGCCUACACACAGCAAAACAUGCUUAUCAUUUUUAAUGCCAUAAUUGCUAGCUGCUCAUAAAGUGGAUUCUUUUUUUUUUGUUUGUUUUGUCCGAUUAAUAAGAUAAAGUUAAAGCUUCAUCUCCCUUUGGAGAAAAUGCCCAGUUUUUUUUUUAAUUUCUGUCACAAAGAAACAUGUACAAGAGCUAAAUCCAACUAUGCCUUUGAGAGAACACUGGAAUUUAGGUAUAGCUAACAUUCAGUACAGUGUGUUUUUUUUCCCUUUAUAGUUUUUGUAUUGUUUGAACUAUACAAUGAAGAGUUAGCAAAGAUUUUAGCCAGAACUAGAUAGAGGAAGCAUCAGUAGGCAAGGUAUGUAAUUUAAACUUGCAUGUGAAUUGUUCAGUUAAAUUUUCAUUUAAGAUUUAAGAUGUAGAAUAUGCGGGUCAGUGUUGCAAAAUCUGGUGCAUUUUAUAUUGUAUGAACAAUCAAUGUCUCAUUGGCCACUGAAACGUUUGCCUAUCUUGUUUUUGUUUUUUAAACGUUAAAUGUGUCAAAUUGAUAUUCAUUUAGCUGAGCAGUGCACUCAGCAGUUGGCUUUAUUUUUGCCAAUGGAUUUGCGUUUCUUGAAAGCCUCUUUUAUCUACCUACAUGUUUCGUGAAUAGCUAAAACAUGCCUGAUGACAGCUAUCUGUUAAUAAGGAUCGAAAUGUAAGAAAAGUGUAAAAUACACCUACCAAGGCAAUAUGUGAAAAGCAAUUUCUGUUACCAAAUUUACUGAUACAGAAUGUGAGCUUUUGUUUCCUGUCGGCCAAUGUCAUUUGGUUAGAAAAGAAAAAAAAAAAAAAAAAAAUCAGGAAACAAAUGUCUUCACCGUCUGGCACUGAGAUAUUUAUUUGUGUUAUUUAUUUAUCAGUGACAGGGUUCACUAUAAAUAGUAUUUUUUUUUUAAAACUAUUUCUUAUAUAAGAUAAUUAUCGGAAGCAGUGCCUUCCAUAAUUAUGACAGUUAUACUGUCACUUUAAUAAAAGCAGCAUCUGCUACAGAAACACGCUUGUUACCAAAAUGUUGACCAGAAACUGCAGUUGCAUGAAACAUUUACAAAUAACGACAUUUAAUUGAGUCUAGGUUUGCCUAUGAACUAAAUGUAAACUGUUACAUCUAUCUUCAUUUUUUAAAUGCUUUACCUGCUCAAAAGACCCAACUGAUUUGCACUGGAAAGUCUUGCUCACUUUGCUAGUCUUUGAACAGCUUACAAAGUUAAGCAAAAUAAUUGCAGUAUUGCAUUUUUUAAUCCUGGUUUUAGAUCAUAUAUAUUUUUUAAUAAGCAUGAAGAUGAUACUUGAUUUAUAAAUUGUGUUGCUGGUUCCACCUUUUACACCUUGAACACUAAACAAGGUAGUUUUUAAAAGAGCUUGCAGUUUCUGGUCAAGCAGUUUUGGUGCAUUUAUAUUUCUAAUCCUAACAACAUUAUCGGGAGCAGUGUCUUCCAUAAUGUAAAAAACGAAGGUAGUUUUUGCCUACCAAGGUGUAUAUAUCGGGGGCAGUGACCUUCAUAUUUCACACUGAAGGUGUCUGUAAUUAUCGGGAACAGUGUUUCCCACAUUCUUUGUAUAUUGUUUGCAUUUACGAACUAUUGCAAGGCUUGAAGUUGUUUGUGUCUCAUCAACAUUAACCUAAAUGGGUUAGAUUUUCCUCUUUAUUUCUUUAGGACUCUUUAAUUCCAAUAAAGUAAUCAACUUUUUUUUUAUUUGUAAAUUUUAUAUGGCUAACCUGUGCCUUGAGUAAACUCGUAUUCUACAAACCAUUGGCAAGAAUCCUUGAAGCGCAACUUUUGCUUCACAGUAUUGCGAAUCCUUUUAAUUAAGUAACCCUAUUCAUCUACUCAUGUUCAUGUGAUGUUUUGAAUGCUUGUUGGACAGUUUUAAUUGAACAGUUUAAUCUCCAUUUAGACAUAGGUUUAACUGUGGUAACUGAAUAUCUAAAUUGCUGAGGUUAAAGUAUGCGGGCGCAUGAAGAUGCAUAAAUACUUACGUUUUUUUGUUUUUUUUUUUAAUGAAAAAUCUAUUAAAUUAUAUGGUAUUCACUUGUAUCUUCACAGAAAGAAUUGUAAUGUCUGUCACAAGUCAAAAGAAACCGUAUUAACUUGUUCUCGUGUGAUAUUUGAUUUGUAAUGUUUUUACAACGGAAAUGGAUAGACUACUAUUGCAUACAUGAAAUGUAAUAUCUGUUCUGUAAUUGUUUUGUUUCUUGGAUUAAUCUUAUGUUCUUUGAAAUUGUCCCAACAGUUUUGCUCUUGGAGUGUUUGAUCUAUUUGUAUGAUGGCUGACUAAUCCGGGAGCUGUCGGUAAAAGCCAGCACCCACCCCGGACCACUCUACACCAUUGUUGUCGCCAUUAACUGUAUUGAAUCACCACUUGCACAAGGAACAUGCACUAUUGGAGCGUGUGUGUGAACAGCAUUGCUAUUUCGGGACUGUGCCCUAUGUUUUUACCUGUGCAAUACACGUUGUGUAUAGCCAGGUACUAUUAUUUAAGGUUGCCAGACAAGCAACCCCACUGACUAAAGAGCUGUGUUUUGACUGUGA